This 331-nucleotide unclassified non-coding RNA is filed under the name soil metagenome. RNAcentral describes it as "partial contains 5.8S ribosomal RNA, internal transcribed spacer 2, and large subunit ribosomal RNA". The stretch from base 1 to 120 matches the Rfam family "5.8S ribosomal RNA", at positions 35 to 154 of the family's 154-position model. The record is from RNAcentral.
GAUGAAGAACGCAGCGAAAUGCGAUAAGUAAUGUGAAUUGCAGAAUUCAGUGAAUCAUCGAAUCUUUGAACGCACAUUGCGCCCCCUGGUAUUCCGGGGGGCAUGCCUGUUCGAGCGUCAUUUCACCACUCAAGCCUCGCUUGGUAUUGGGCAACGCGGUCCGCCGCGUGCCUCAAAUCGACCGGCUGGGUCUUCUGUCCCCUAAGCGUUGUGGAAACUAUUCGCUAAAGGGUGCUCGGGAGGCUACGCCGUAAAACAAACCCAUUUCUAAGGUUGACCUAGGAUCAGGUAGGGAUACCCGCUGAACUUAAGCAUAUCAAUAAGCGGAGGA